RNAcentral lists this transfer RNA (73 nucleotides) under Paramuricea clavata. It matches the Rfam family "tRNA". From Rfam's summary of the family: Transfer RNA (tRNA) molecules are approximately 80 nucleotides in length. Their secondary structure includes four short double-helical elements and three loops (D, anti-codon, and T loops). Further hydrogen bonds mediate the characteristic L-shaped molecular structure. tRNAs have two regions of fundamental functional importance: the anti-codon, which is responsible for specific mRNA codon recognition, and the 3' end, to which the tRNAs corresponding amino acid is attached (by aminoacyl-tRNA synthetases). tRNAs cope with the degeneracy of the genetic code in two manners: having more than one tRNA (with a specific anti-codon) for a particular amino acid; and 'wobble' base-pairing, i.e. permitting non-standard base-pairing at the 3rd anti-codon position. The record is from Rfam by way of RNAcentral. Lineage: Eukaryota; Metazoa; Cnidaria; Anthozoa; Malacalcyonacea; Plexauridae.
GCAUCUGUAGCUCAGUUGGUUAGAGCGCUGCACCGGAAUCGCAGGGCCGUAGGUUCAAUUCCUACCAGAGGAC